This 508-nucleotide ribosomal RNA is filed under the name uncultured bacterium. Its description in RNAcentral is "partial 16S ribosomal RNA". It matches the Rfam family "Bacterial small subunit ribosomal RNA", at positions 30 to 523 of the family's 1533-position model. The record is from RNAcentral.
AUUGAACGCUGGCGGUAUGCCUUACACAUGCAAGUCGAACGGCAGCGGGGGAGAAGCUUGCUUUUCCUGCCGGCGAGUGGCGAACGGGUGAGUAAUACAUCGGAACGUGCCCUGUAGUGGGGGAUAACUAGUCGAAAGAUUAGCUAAUACCGCAUACGACCUGAGGGUGAAAGUGGGGGACCGCAAGGCCUCAUGCUAUAGGAGCGGCCGAUGUCUGAUUAGCUAGUUGGUGGGGUAAAGGCCUACCAAGGCGACGAUCAGUAGCUGGUCUGAGAGGACGAUCAGCCACACUGGGACUGAGACACGGCCCAGACUCCUACGGGAGGCAGCAGUGGGGAAUUUUGGACAAUGGGCGAAAGCCUGAUCCGGCAAUGCCGCGUGUGUGAAGAAGGCCUUCGGGUUGUAAAGCACUUUUGUCCGGAAAGAAAUGGCUCUGGUUAAUACCUGGGGUCGAUGACGGUACCGGAAGAAUAAGGACCGGCUAACUACGUGCCAGCCGCCGCGGUAA